This 446-nucleotide ribosomal RNA is filed under the name uncultured bacterium. Its description in RNAcentral is "bacterial SSU rRNA". It matches the Rfam family "Bacterial small subunit ribosomal RNA", at positions 329 to 792 of the family's 1533-position model. The record is from RNAcentral.
ACCCAGACUCCUACGGGAGGCAGCAGUCGAGAAUCAUUCACAAUGGGGGAAACCCUGAUGCAGCGACGCCGCGUGAGUGAAGAAGUACUUCGUUAUGUAAAGCUCUAUCAGCAGGGAAGAAAAUGACGGUACCUGAGUAAGAAGCCCCGGCUAACUACGUGCCAGCAGCCGCGGUAAUACGUAGGGGGCAAGCGUUAUCCGGAUUUACUGGGUGUAAAGGGGGCGCAGACGGCAGCGCAAGCCAGGAGUGAAAGCCCGGGGCCCAACCCCGGGACUGCUCUUGGAACUGCGCGGCUGGAGUGCAGGAGGGGCAGGCGGAAUUCCUGGUGUAGCGGUGAAAUGCGUAGAUAUCAGGAGGAACACCGGUGGCGAAGGCGGCCUGCUGGACUGCGACUGACGUUGAGGCCCGAAAGCGUGGGGAGCAAACAGGAUUAGAUACCCUCGUA